This 253-nucleotide ribosomal RNA is filed under the name uncultured bacterium. RNAcentral's name for it is "partial 16S ribosomal RNA". It matches the Rfam family "Bacterial small subunit ribosomal RNA", at positions 524 to 776 of the family's 1533-position model. The record is from RNAcentral.
UACAGGGGGGGCAAGCGUUGUUCGGAAUUACUGGGCGUAAAGGGUUCGUAGGUGGCCAACUAAGUCAUACGUGAAAGCCCCCGGCUCAACUGGGGAGGGUCAUUCGAUACUGAUCGACUCGAAGGCAGGAGAGGGAAGCGGAAUUCCCGGUGUAGUGGUGAAAUGCGUAGAUAUCGGGAGGAACACCAGUGGCGAAGGCGGCUUCCUGGCCUGUUCUUGACGCUGAGGCGCGAAAGCUAGGGGAGCAAACAGG